UGAGCAAUCUGCCCUUCUCUUUGGAAUAAGCGUUGGAAACGACGUCUAAUGCCGAAUACGACCUCCUUUCGCAUGAUCGGAGGUGGAAAGCUCCGGCGGAGAAGGAUGAGCUCGCGGCCUAUCAGCUAGUUGGUGAGGUAAUAGCUCACCAAGGCGAUGACGGGUAGCCGGCCUGAGAGGGUGACCGGCCACACUGGGACUGAGACACGGCCCAGACUCCUAGGAGG
Molecule: ribosomal RNA, 227 nt
Filed under: uncultured bacterium
Lineage: Bacteria
Description: partial 16S ribosomal RNA
Rfam family: Bacterial small subunit ribosomal RNA
Source: RNAcentral